GAAAUGCGAUACUUGGUGUGAAUUGCAGAAUCCCGUGAACCAUCGAGUCUUUGAACGCACAUUGCACCCGGCGGCCAUUCCGCCGGGUCUGCCUGUCCGAGCGUCGUUUCGCCCCUCGAGCCCCCGUGGCCCGGCGUUGGGGAUCUGCCCAGGCAGGCCCCGAAAACCAGUGGCGGACCCGUUACAGGCCCUUCCUUUGCGUAGUAAUACUGCCUCGCAUCGGGAGCCGGCGGGCUUCCAGCCUCUAAACCCCCAGCAAGUCCGCCCCGGCGGCACCAAGGUUGACCUCGGAUCAGGUAGGAAUACCCGCUGAACUUAA
Molecule: unclassified non-coding RNA, 319 nt
Filed under: uncultured Hypocreales
Lineage: Eukaryota; Fungi; Ascomycota; Sordariomycetes; Hypocreales
Description: sequence contains ITS1
Rfam family: 5.8S ribosomal RNA (bases 1-106)
Source: RNAcentral